This 1022-nucleotide long non-coding RNA is filed under the name Homo sapiens (human). Its description in RNAcentral is "HSALNT0398610". The record is from RNAcentral. Lineage: Eukaryota; Metazoa; Chordata; Mammalia; Primates; Hominidae.
UCUUUGAGUAUCUGACGUACACAAGGCAAAGGGCGCGUUUUGGCGCUGGUGACCGGGGGUGACCGGGGGUGACCGGGGAUGGCCGGGAAGAUGAAAGAGCACUGAAACUGUCCCAUUUCCUGGCACCUCAACCCUUCAUAAAUACGGGUCCAUAUACAGAGGCUCCAGUUUACACAAGACAAAAAUGGCGUGGAGCCUUCAGAUCAGAUUCCAACCCAGCUAACACCUUGACGACAACCCCCAUGAGAGACUGUGAAUCAAAGUAGCCAGAAUCCACAGAUUUAAGGGUUCAAUCCUACAAGACUGCCUCCUCUUGAGUUCCUCUGCCCGGCCGCCCCACUGUCUGGGAAGUGAGAAGCGCCUCUGCCUAGCCGCCCACCAUCUGGGAAGUGAGGAGCACCUCUGCCCGGCCGCCCCACACCACCGCCGCCAUCUGGGAAGUGAGGAGUGCCUCUGCCUGGCCCCCGCAACGUCUGGGAAGUGAGGAGCGCCUUUGCGCGGCUGCUGUGCGACCCUCCAAGUGUGAAGUGACAGCCUUGUGUGUGAUCUUUCUGCCCUCCCCAAGUUUGCAUUUUCGACAUUAAAGUUUACUUUUCAAUUAAAAUUUUUAAAUUGGAGAAUAUAUAAUUUAAAAAAAAAAAAAAAAGACUGCCUCCUCUUAAGAUGCCAGUCACAAGUCCUGGGCUACCAGUAUUUCUGACUAACUGGCUAUAAAUUAGAGGCUCCCACAAACCCCUCCUCAGGUUUGAUAAUUUACUAGAACAGCUCAUAGAACUCAGGAAACACUUUACCUAUGGUACCUAGUUAAUAAUAGAGGAUAUAACUGAGGAACAGCCAGACUGAAGAAAUGCAUAGGGCAAGAUAUGGAAGAGGGUGUGCCAAGCUUCCAUUCCUCUCUGCGUGUGGCAUCCUCCCAGCACCCUGGUAUGUUCACAAACCUGAAGCUUGUUCAAGAGUACAAAAAAUUAGCCGGGUGUGGUGGUGGGUGCCUGUAGUCCCAGCUACUCAGGAGGCUGAGGCAG